Macadamia integrifolia is the source of this 1410-nucleotide RNA transcript. It is a transcript of the gene named probable jasmonic acid carboxyl methyltransferase 1, with no coding region annotated. The transcript is spliced from 2 exons. The record is from RefSeq and is a predicted model, not a curated record. Lineage: Eukaryota; Viridiplantae; Streptophyta; Magnoliopsida; Proteales; Proteaceae.
GUACUUAGCUAUCUAGCUACCAAUCUUAGCUUGCUGAGAACUACUUAGACUUGCGAAGACAUGGAAGUCCAACAAGUUCUUCACAUGAAUUCGGGCAAUGGAGAGACUAGCUAUGCUACAAACUCCAAUCUUCAAGUUCUCUCUCUCUCUCUCUCUCUUCUCUCUCUCUCUCUCUCUCUCUCUCUCUCUCUCUCUCUCUCUCUCUCUCUCUCAGUUACAUUUGUUCUAAGAAAUUUGAACUUGGGUAUUUGCAAAACUAGUGAUAACCAAGGCAAAGCCAAUGGUGAUUGGGAGCAUUUCAGAUUUUUAUACCACCAACUUUCCUCGAAGUUUAAGGGUUGCAGAUUUGGGGUGCCCUUCAGGGCCGAACACCCUACUAGUGAUCUCAGAGAUCAUUGAGGCUAUUGAUGAAACAUGUCAUCAGUUGAAUUGUAAAACACCUGAAUUCCAAGUGUUCCUUAAUGAUCUACCAAGUAAUGACUUCAACAACAUUUUCAAGACCUUGCUGGCCUUCUAUGAGCAACUAAAGAAGGAGAAGGGUGAAAAUUUUGGACCAUGUUCCAUCACAGGAUUACCUGGUUCUUUCUAUGAUUGGCUUUUUCCAAGUAAUACCAUAGACUUCCUUCAUUCCUCCUAUAGAGUUCAUUGGCUCUCUCAGAACUGAAGAUUUAACAACAGAGGAAGUCCAAGAAGAAACAGGCCUAAUGUGGCCUAGCCCUAAUCUAAGCACGCUUACAUGGCCUGGGCCCACUUUGUUUUAGUUUAAGUUGCUUUCAUUUGAUUUUAAGUGUUUAAAAAGUUCUUGUUGAACCAGUGGUUCACGGGUUCAACUUAAGUUGUUAUCUUAUUUUUUUUUAAAGAUUUUUAGAAGUAUGGAAUGGCUUGUAAUUAAGGGUGAACAGCUAGGGAGUAUCCAAGUCUACUUAAAACUGUCUUUUGUGGUGAACCAAUCAAACUUUGCAAUGAGAAGCCCAGAUUGCAGUUCUUUUAUUCUCUUGUACUCUUCUCUUGUCAAUUCUAUUAAACUUACAGCAGUAUUGCUACACAAUCAUAUCUUGCAGUAGAACAAGCAGUACCCACAAUAUAACUUUCCUACUCUUUGUGAAAUUUCUGAUAAUAGGUCAUAUACAGGUCUGAUCCACUUUUUGAUUCCAUACAUCUUCAGUCAGUGCUCUUAACUCUCUCCAACAAUCAAGUUUUGAUUUUUCUGGUUGAAUGCCAUAUUCCUAUUCCAAGUUGGAUUCAAUACUUGCUAUUUUGGGAGGUUAUUUAAUAACUGAUAUUUGUUGAUUUGUUGGGUCUCACAUCUACUAUUGGGUGUAUUGAAUCUGAAACCCGAUGUCAAAAAGAUCAGUUACUAGUCAAACUUGAGGUCUCAUACUCCAAUCAUUCCAGCAGAUCCAAGUAUCC